UUGGGAAUGCAGCUCAAAAUGGUGGUAAUUUCAUCUAAGCUAAAUAUUGGCCAGAGCCGAUAGCGCACAAGUAGAGUGAUCGAAAGAUGAAAAGCCCUUGAAAAGAGAGUUAAACAGUAUGUGAAAUUGUUGAAAGGGAAGCGCUUACAACCAGACUUGCGCGCGGCGGUUCCCCCUUCCUUUUGGUUGGGCUACUCCGUCGUGUCCAGGCCAACAUCGGUUCUGGGGGUCGGUUAAAGACCCUGAGAAUGUAUCUACCCUUCGGGCGUAGACUUAUAGCUCAGGGUGUCAUGCGACCUCCCGGGACCGAGGAACGCGCUUCGGCUCGGAUGUUGGCGUAAUGGUUGUCAGCGACCCGUCUUGAAACACGGACCAAGGAGUCUAACAUCUAUGCGAGUGUUUGGGUGUCAAACCCGGAACGCGAAAUGAAAGUGAACGGAGGUAGGAAGCCAUGAGGCUGCACUAUCGACCGAUCCUGAUGUCUUCGGAUGGAUUUGAGUAAGAGCAUAGCUGUUGGGACCCGAAAGAUGGUGAACUAUGCCUGAAUAGGGUGAAGCCAGAGGAAACUCUGGUGGAGGCUCGCAGCGGUUCUGACGUGCAAAUCGAUCGUCAAAUUUGGGUAUAGGGGCGAAAGACUAAUCGAACCAUCUGGUAGCUGGUUCCUGCCGAAGUUUCCCUCAGGAUAGCAGUAACGUUUUCAGUUUUAUGAGGUAAAGCGAAUGAUUAGAGGCCUUGGGGUUGAAACAACCUUAACCUAUUCUCAAACUUUAAAUAUGUAAGAAGUCCUUGUUGCUUAAUUGAACGUGGACAUUUGAAUGUAUCGUUACUAGUGGGCCAUUUUUGGUAAGCAGAACUGGCGAUGCGGGAUGAACCGAACGUGAGGUUAAGGUGCCGGAAUGUACGCUCAUCAGACACCACAAAAGGUGUCAAUGCAUCCAGACAGCCGGACGGUGGCCAUGGAAGUCGGAAUCCGCUUAGGAGUGUGUAACAACUCACCGGCCGAAUGCAUUGGCCCUGAAAAUGGAUGGCGCUUAAGCGUGCUACCUAUACCUCGCCGUCAGGGUUGACAUGAUGCCCUGACGAGUAGGCAGGCGUGGAGGUCCGUGACGAAGCCUUGGG
This 1119-nucleotide ribosomal RNA is filed under the name Exophiala sp. RNAcentral's name for it is "partial large subunit ribosomal RNA". It matches the Rfam family "Eukaryotic large subunit ribosomal RNA", at positions 274 to 1415 of the family's 3401-position model. Lineage: Eukaryota; Fungi; Ascomycota; Eurotiomycetes; Chaetothyriales; Herpotrichiellaceae. The record is from RNAcentral.